ACUCAAUAGAUACCCGGGUAGUCCUAGCUGUAAACGAUGAUGACUAGGUGUGGGAGGUAUCGACCCCUUCCGUGCCGCCGCUAAACGCAUUAAGUCAUCCGCCUGGGGAGUACGGCCGCAAGGUUAAAACUCAAAGGAAUUGACGGGGGCCCGCACAAGCGGUGGAGCAUGUGGUUUAAAUUCGACGCUACGCGAAGAACCUUACCUGGGCUCGAACGACUGGUGGUAGUCCGGUGGAAACACUGGGCGACCCGCAAGGGAGCCAGCCGAGGUGCUGCAUGGCUGUCGUCAGCUCGUGUCGCGAGAUGUUGGGUUAAGUCCCCGCAACGAGCGCAACCCCUAUCCUGUGUUGCUACCCGCAAGGGAGGACUCUCAGGAGACUGCCGCGGAUAACGUGGA
This 399-nucleotide ribosomal RNA is filed under the name uncultured bacterium. Its description in RNAcentral is "bacterial SSU rRNA". It matches the Rfam family "Bacterial small subunit ribosomal RNA", at positions 772 to 1167 of the family's 1533-position model. The record is from RNAcentral.